RNAcentral lists this ribosomal RNA (486 nucleotides) under Psora decipiens. RNAcentral describes it as "LSU rRNA". It matches the Rfam family "Eukaryotic large subunit ribosomal RNA", at positions 95 to 584 of the family's 3401-position model. The record is from RNAcentral. Lineage: Eukaryota; Fungi; Ascomycota; Lecanoromycetes; Lecanorales; Psoraceae.
GAAGCGGCAACAGCUCAAAUUUGAAAUCUGACCCCUUGGGGGUCCGAGUUGUAAUUUGCAGAGGGUGUUUCGGGCACGGUGCCGGUUUAAGUCCUUUGGAACAGGGUGUCAUAGAGGGUGAGAACCCCGUAUGUGACCGGUCGCCAAACCCAUGUGAAACCCCUUCGACGAGUCGAGUUGUUUGGGAAUGCAGCUCAAAAUGGGUGGUAAAUUUCAUCUAAAGCUAAACAUUGGCCAGAGACCGAUAGCGCACAAGUAGAGUGAUCGAAAGAUGAAAAGCACUUUGGAAAGAGAGUCAAACAGCACGUGAAAUUGUUGAAAGGGAAGCGCUUGCGACCAGACCUGCUCGCGGGUGAUCAGCGGUGCUUUUCGCGCCGUGCACUCAUCCGCGAUCAGGCCAGCAUCGGUUCAGGCGGCCGGACAAAGACUCGGAGAAUGUAGCUCCCUCCGGGGAGUGUUAUAGCUCCUUGUGCAAUACGGCCAGCC